GGACUCCACUUCUGUUGAAGACCAUGUCUACAAGUGUAACCUCUGACACGGGUAACACAUUGCACACCUUUACACAACAGGAUAAUGCUGGUUUGUCAUAUUUUAAGAGUUUUUAAUGUCAAUUAGAGGAUGAAAUCCAGCAGAACGAAGAGAAUGUCCAUUUGUUGCAACAGUCACUGAAGGAAAUGGACGACAGACUUGUCACCCUGUCCGAGAACUUGAAUCAGUGCGAAUGCGUCAUAAAUGACUUGAUGGCUCUCAAACAUGUUGUAGAGAGCAAAUCCCUUCAAGAUGUGUGCUACAGAAACUAACCGAAGAGUAACUGUCACUUUUUUAUUUUAAAUGUACCUGAAUAAACUUUACAACCACUGA
Long non-coding RNA from Nematolebias whitei (Rio pearlfish), 372 nucleotides. RefSeq lists it as uncharacterized. The transcript is spliced from 3 exons. The record is from RefSeq and is a predicted model, not a curated record. NCBI's taxonomy places the organism in Eukaryota, Metazoa, Chordata, Actinopteri, Cyprinodontiformes, Rivulidae.